UUCUUUAACCUUGUGGCAAUAUCGUAAACCAAUGAAGGUCUCCUGAGGUGCGAUUAUUGCUAGUUGAGAAAUCCAAAUAACCAU
Molecule: small nuclear RNA, 84 nt
Filed under: Rhodnius prolixus
Lineage: Eukaryota; Metazoa; Arthropoda; Insecta; Hemiptera; Reduviidae
Description: U4 spliceosomal RNA
Rfam family: U4 spliceosomal RNA
About the family: U4 small nuclear RNA (U4 snRNA) is a component of the major U2-dependent spliceosome. The structure of U4 snRNA from yeast and human has been reported.
Source: Rfam by way of RNAcentral